AUGUUUUCUGAACAUGAUGAGGAACUGAAUGAGAAUGAAGAUGCACUUAUGAGUGUAGAGGCAGAGGCAAAGGCAGAAGCAGCAGCUGCAGAAGCAGGAGAUGAAUCCGUUUUGCAUAGUAUUAUUGAAGAUGAAGAUGCCGAACCAACAGUUGUCGAGGAUGCCAAUCUAGAAGCUGCUCAAGAUGACAAGCCAAAAGGACGGAGGCAGAUGGCGUCAAGAUCACUAAUCUGGGAGCAUUUCACGAAAGUUUUUUAA
This 258-nucleotide ribosomal RNA is filed under the name Triticum aestivum (bread wheat). RNAcentral's name for it is "partial small subunit ribosomal RNA". Lineage: Eukaryota; Viridiplantae; Streptophyta; Magnoliopsida; Poales; Poaceae. The record is from RNAcentral.